This 335-nucleotide RNase P RNA is filed under the name human gut metagenome. Its description in RNAcentral is "Bacterial RNase P class A". It matches the Rfam family "Bacterial RNase P class A". From Rfam's summary of the family: Ribonuclease P (RNase P) is a ubiquitous endoribonuclease, found in archaea, bacteria and eukarya as well as chloroplasts and mitochondria. Its best characterised activity is the generation of mature 5'-ends of tRNAs by cleaving the 5'-leader elements of precursor-tRNAs. The record is from RNAcentral.
GAGUCAGUUGGAUAGUCGCAGGCUAUGAAAAUAGCGUGAGGAAAGUCCGGGCUUCAUAGAGCAGGAUGCCGGAUAACGUCCGGUGGAGGUGACUCUAAGGAAAGUGCAACAGAAAUAAACCGCCUGUUUUUCAGGUAAGGGUGGAAAGGUGAGGUAAGAGCUCACCGCUUCUUUGGUAACAAAGAGGGCUCUGUAAACCCCAUCCGAAGCAAGUUCAAAUCGGGACAUUGAGGCUGCUCGUCUCGUCCUGAGGUAAAGAACGCUUGAUGUUAUCGGUGACGAUAAUACUAGAUAGAUGACUAUUUAAAACAGAACUCGGCUUAUAGACUGGCUCA